Ipomoea triloba (trilobed morning glory) is the source of this 746-nucleotide long non-coding RNA. RefSeq lists it as uncharacterized. The record is from RefSeq and is a predicted model, not a curated record. The transcript has 3 exons. NCBI's taxonomy places the organism in Eukaryota, Viridiplantae, Streptophyta, Magnoliopsida, Solanales, Convolvulaceae.
CGUUUCUUGGUGUUAUCGUUGUCGCCGUCGGUCGAGGAGGGAGCAGGAGGAGUCGCCGGUGGUGCUGUUGUUGGCAGUCGUAGCUUGCAGCGAUGGCGGACGCCGGUGGUGACUGUCGGCGAGAGUAGCGUCUGGGCAGGAGAGGUCGGCGGCAAGUCGAGCAAAAAAGGCUAGGGUUGAACAGGUGGUUGCGUGUUUGUUCAGAUCCCUCAUUGAUGAUGACGAUUUCGUUGAAGGUCAUGAUCCUUCCUUAUAAAGGAACAAGCAGGAGCCAUCAUCGGAUGUCCGAGAUACUGUUCUAACAUAUGGAAUAAUGUAAUUGUGUACAUGGAGAAAUAUAGAUAAUUAUUCUUCCACUCAACCCACUGCAGUGAAAUAUGGGGAUACCCUAGAGAAUUUGUUUGAAAUUGUUGCAUGAAUAUUUCAAGUCGGUGGGUGAGGGGUUCAAGCCCGACACGUGCCUUAGUUUGGAGACCAAAAGGAUGCCGAUGAAGUGGUAGGAUACCAAGAAUAAGGUGCACUGUGGGGUGUAUGUUAUGCGGCACAUGGAGAGCUAUGCCAGGGAAGGUGUUGGAAGCUGAGAGUGUGGUCUAGUUUUUAGAAUUAUGAAUAUAAGCUUAUGUGAAAAUCUCGUGAUUAACCAUGUAUCUGGGUAUUGUGUGUCUAUAUUGUGUGCCAUGGUUGCAUAUGUUGUGUGCACCAUCAUAUUGUGUACAAUUACUAUAUGGCACACAUUUUCUUUGGUA